Molecule: long non-coding RNA, 341 nt
Filed under: Nicotiana benthamiana
Lineage: Eukaryota; Viridiplantae; Streptophyta; Magnoliopsida; Solanales; Solanaceae
Description: long non-coding RNA (NBEN_LNC041165)
Source: RNAcentral
CUUCUCUACUACAGGUUUCUUCUCUUUAUUUUGUUGGUGAGAACCAGUUAAGGAAGACAAUUUUCUAAUCUUCUUUGAAAGGAGGCUGUUUUUUCUUGUCUUGGGUGACUUAGUUGGUGAACCACGAGGUUGCACCAUGUGAUGCCUAAUCGAUAUCCUGGCCGCCAAACUUGGCUUGGAUUCAUAAUCCACGUUUUUCCUCGUCUUGGGUGACUUAGUUGGUGAACCACGAGAUUGCACCAUGUGAUGCCUAGUCGAUAUCCUGGCCGCCAAACUUGGCUUGGAUUCAUAAUCCAUAUCCGCACCUUGCAAAGCUGAGCUGUUCUCACUGUGAUCCUCAU